This 678-nucleotide ribosomal RNA is filed under the name cf. Trechispora sp. 1 LF-2015. Its description in RNAcentral is "eukaryotic LSU rRNA". The stretch from base 265 to 418 matches the Rfam family "5.8S ribosomal RNA". Lineage: Eukaryota; Fungi; Basidiomycota; Agaricomycetes; Trechisporales; Hydnodontaceae. The record is from RNAcentral.
UCUUGGUCAUUUAGAGGAAGUAAAAGUCGUAACAAGGUUUCCGUAGGUGAACCUGCGGAAGGAUCAUUAACGUAUCUACGACGGGGAAGGCGCCUCGCUCCGGUUCCAAACGGGCCGUGCAGCGGGCGCCCACCCGCUCGACCUUCACAAACCCCACCGUGAACCUUUGCGGGCGGAAGGGGGCGCGAGCCCUCGGAAGUCUGCGUAACAAACCCCAAUCUCAACGAGAACGACGAGCGACCUCGAGUCGCCCUAACACGAAACAACUUUCAACAACGGAUCUCUUGGCUCUCGCAUCGAUGAAGAACGCAGCGAAAUGCGAUAAGUAAUGUGAAUUGCAGAAUUCAGUGAAUCAUCGAAUCUUUGAACGCACCUUGCGCUCCUCGGUAUUCCGAGGAGCAUGCCUGUUUGAGUGUCUUGAAGUCAUCAACCUCCACGUUUUUCGUAGACGGGGUAGGUUGGAGCUGGGGGCAUGCGGCCGAGAGGCCGCUCCCCUCAAAUGCAUCGGUCGGGCCUGUGGGUUCCAACUCGAUUGGGCGUUGUACCAUCCUCGCUCCGCANAGUAGGCCCGCUUUUAAGCGCCCCUCCUCGACUCGCCUCUGGAGCGGCGGUCAAGCACAUUUUUGAAAUCUGACCUCAAAUCAGGUAGGACUACCCGCUGAACUUAAGCAUAUCAAU